This 103-nucleotide small nuclear RNA is filed under the name Aotus nancymaae (Ma's night monkey). The record is from RNAcentral. Lineage: Eukaryota; Metazoa; Chordata; Mammalia; Primates; Aotidae.
GUGCUCACUUCAGCAGCACAUACACCAAAACUGGAAAGAUAGAAUAUUAGCAGGGCACCUAAACGAGGAUGACAUGCAAAUUCAUGAAUAGUUCCAUAUUACA